RNAcentral lists this ribosomal RNA (622 nucleotides) under Escherichia coli. Its description in RNAcentral is "partial 23S ribosomal RNA". It matches the Rfam family "Bacterial large subunit ribosomal RNA", at positions 1102 to 1725 of the family's 2925-position model. The record is from RNAcentral. Lineage: Bacteria; Pseudomonadati; Pseudomonadota; Gammaproteobacteria; Enterobacterales; Enterobacteriaceae.
UGGCUUAGAAGCAGCCACCCUUUAAAGAAAGCGUAAUAGCUCACUAGUCGAGUCGGCCUGCGCGGAAGAUGUAACGGGGCUCAAACCAUACACCGAAGCUACGGGUGCAUCGCAAGAUGUGCGGUAGAGGAGCGUUCUGUAAGCCUGUGAAGGUGAGUUGAGAAGCUUGCUGGAGGUAUCAGAAGUGCGAAUGCUGACAUGAGUAACGACAAUGGGAGUGAAAAACUCCCACGCCGAAAGACCAAGGGUUCCUGCGCAACGUUAAUCGACGCAGGGUUAGUCGGUCCCUAAGGCGAGGCUGAAGAGCGUAGUCGAUGGGAAACAGGUUAAUAUUCCUGUACUUCUAGUUACUGCGAUGGAGGGACGGAGAAGGCUAGGCCAGCUUGGCGUUGGUUGUCCAAGUUUAAGGUGGUAGGCAGAGAUCUUAGGUAAAUCCGGGGUCUUAAUGCCGAGAGCUGAUGACGAGCGUUCUUUUAGAACGUGAAGUGGUUGAUGCCAUGCUUCCAGGAAAAGCUUCUAAGCUUCAGGUAACUAGGAACCGUACCCCAAACCGACACAGGUGGUUGGGUAGAGAAUACCAAGGCGCUUGAGAGAACUCGGGUGAAGGAACUAGGCAAAAUGG